This 1224-nucleotide long non-coding RNA is filed under the name Cairina moschata (Muscovy duck). RNAcentral describes it as "domestica (muscovy Duck (domestic type)) lncRNA (ENSCMMG00000010513.1)". The record is from RNAcentral. Lineage: Eukaryota; Metazoa; Chordata; Aves; Anseriformes; Anatidae.
AUGUCAAGGGCUGCCGGCGGCUCCCCUACCUCCGCGCUACCGCUCCACGAGAGGAGGCUGGAAAGCAGCGGCACGACGCGAGCCCUGCGGGAAGGCGGUCCACGCAUCCCGGCGCAGCGCGGUUAUUUCUUCCGCUCACUUCGUGCAACUCGCCCGGCGCUGCCCUCGCCUCCCAGCAGGUGGGCCAGCCCCCUCCCCGCGGGGCGCCGUGCCCGGGCAGCCCCCGCGCCUCCAGGAGCGCUUUCCCCGCUCGCCGGGGGCUGCCCCGGCUGCGCCCCCGCCCCCGGGGGUUGCCCUGGGGCGCACCGCGCUGCCCCCGGCGGGCCCCGGGCCGGGCACGACGCGGCCCCCCCGCUCCAACCCCCCCCCGCUCCCUUCCGGGCCGGGCGGCGGCCCUGCCCCGCUCCCUCCGCCGCCCACCCCCGGCUGGGCCUAGCGCUGUUCGGCUGCCGCCGCCAGGCCCGCGGAGAGGGGGGAAGGGGAUCCCCAGCCGGGCGGGGGGCCCCCCACUCACCCAGGCCGAUCCCCUCGGGGCCGCCCCCGCCGCCUUCCAUGCCGGGCGGCGCGGGGCGGGGGGCGCAGCAGGGGCGGCGGCGGGCGGGCGGAGGAGGCGAGGCGGGCGGGCGGGCGGAGGGCAGGGCGGCCGGGGCCCUCCCUCCCCGCCUGCCUCCGCUCGGCCCCCCUCGGCCGCCGCCGCGGCGCUCGAGCAGCCUCCGCCUCGGGGUCGGGGGCGAGCUCGGGGGCAGGCCCAGGCCCGGGCCCCGCCACCGCCGGCGGACGCGGCUCCCGCCCGGGCUCCCGCUGCCUUCGGCCGCCGCCGCAGCGCUACGUGGCCGCCGCAGCCCAGUCUCGCGACUCCGCCGCGCGCACGCGCGCGGGAGCGCGCCGAGGAGGCGGCUGCCGCGAGCGGGGCGUGGGGGGGGCGCGCGCGCGCGAACGCGCUGGGCAGGGGGGGAAACACCCAUAGGCCGAGGGGAGCGCGAGCCGGGGGCGCAUGCGCCGUCGGGCGGCCGCCGGUUCCCCGCCCGCCCGCGAUUCACCUCGGGCCGCGGCGGAGCCGGAGGGGAGCGCGGCGCGCAGGUGAAUGAACAAGACAGCGGUGACCCUCUUCAAAAUUGUGAAUUUUAUCAGAGGGAUGUCAGAAAGCAGUGGACAGUCUUGCUCAAAGGAGCACAGGCAACCAGGAAAUUACAAAGAUUCUUUUGCAAAGGGCUGAUCUGGUAG